Molecule: ribosomal RNA, 253 nt
Filed under: uncultured bacterium
Lineage: Bacteria
Description: partial 16S ribosomal RNA
Rfam family: Bacterial small subunit ribosomal RNA
Source: RNAcentral
UACGAAGGGGGCUAGCGUUGCCCGGAAUCACUGGGCGUAAAGGGUGCGUAGGCGGGUCUUUAAGUCAGGGGUGAAAUCCUGGAGCUCAACUCCAGAACUGCCUUUGAUACUGAGGAUCUUGAGUUCGGGAGAGGUGAGUGGAACUGCGAGUGUAGAGGUGAAAUUCGUAGAUAUUCGCAAGAACACCAGUGGCGAAGGCGACUUACUGGACACAUAUUGACGCUGAGGUGCGAAAGCGUGGGGAGCAAACAGG